Molecule: ribosomal RNA, 403 nt
Filed under: Verrucomicrobiota bacterium
Lineage: Bacteria; Pseudomonadati; Verrucomicrobiota
Description: Verrucomicrobia bacterium partial 16S ribosomal RNA
Rfam family: Bacterial small subunit ribosomal RNA
Source: RNAcentral
UGGGGAAUAUUGCACAAUGGGGGAAACCCUGAUGCAGCGACGCCGCGUGAGCGAAGAAGGUUUUCGAAUCGUAAAGCUCUGUCCUAUGAGAAGAUAAUGACGGUAUCAUAGGAGGAAGCCCCGGCUAAAUACGUGCCAGCAGCCGCGGUAAUACGUAUGGGGCGAGCGUUGUCCGGAAUUAUUGGGCGUAAAGGGUACGUAGGCGGUCUAUUAAGUCAGGUGUGAAAGCGUGAGGCUUAACCUCAUUAAGCACUUGAAACUGAUAGACUUGAGUGAAGGAGAGGAAAGUGGAAUUCCUAGUGUAGCGGUGAAAUGCGUAGAUAUUAGGAGGAAUACCGGUGGCGAAAGCGGCUUUUUGGCCUGCAACUGACACUGAGGCGCGAAAGCGUGGGGAGCAAACAGG